RNAcentral lists this ribosomal RNA (559 nucleotides) under Ceratocystiopsis minuta. RNAcentral's name for it is "eukaryotic LSU rRNA". It matches the Rfam family "Eukaryotic large subunit ribosomal RNA", at positions 35 to 598 of the family's 3401-position model. Lineage: Eukaryota; Fungi; Ascomycota; Sordariomycetes; Ophiostomatales; Ophiostomataceae. The record is from RNAcentral.
UAAGCAUAUCAAUAAGCGGAGGAAAAGAAACCAACAGGGAUUGCCUCAGUAACGGCGAGUGAAGCGGCAACAGCUCAAAUUUGAAAUCUGGCUCUCCUUGGGGGUCCGAGUUGUAAUUUGGAGAGGAUGUUUCUGGCGCGGCGCCUACCGGAGUUCCUUGGAACAGGACGCCACAGAGGGUGAGAGCCCCGUACGGUGGGACGCCUAGCCGCAACGAAACUCCUUCGACGAGUCGAGUAGUUUGGGAAUGCUGCUCAAAAUGGGAGGUAAAUUUCUUCUAAAGCUAAAUACCGGCCAGAGACCGAUAGCGCACAAGUAGAGUGAUCGAAAGAUGAAAAGCACCUUGAAAAGAGGGUUAAACAGUACGUGAAAUUGUUGAAAGGGAAGCGCCUGCGACCAGACUCGCGCCCCGCGGACCAGCCGGCGUUCUCGCCGGUGCACUCCGCGGGGUGCGGGCCAGCAUCGGUUUUCCCUGGGGGAGAAAGGCCGCGGGAACGUAGCUCCUUCGGGAGUGUUAUAGCCCGCGGCGCCAUGCCCCAGGGGGGACCGAGGACCGCGC